Molecule: unclassified non-coding RNA, 254 nt
Filed under: uncultured Gemmatimonadota bacterium
Lineage: Bacteria; Pseudomonadati; Gemmatimonadota
Description: uncultured Gemmatimonadetes bacterium contains 16S-23S intergenic spacer region
Rfam family: Bacterial small subunit ribosomal RNA
Source: RNAcentral
UACGGAGGGAGCGAGCGUUGUUCGGAAUCACUGGGCGUAAAGGGCGCGUAGGCGGCCGAGUAAGUCGUGUGUGAAAGACCGGGGCUCAACUCCGUGUACUGCAUGCGAUACUGCCCGGCUAGAGAAAGGUAGAGGCGAGUGGAAUUCCCGGUGUAGCGGUGGAAUGCGUAGAUAUCGGGAAGAACACCUGUGGCGAAGGCGGCUCGCUGGGCCUUUUCUGACGCUGAAGUGCGAAAGCGUGGGGAGCAAACAGG